This is a long non-coding RNA of Felis catus (domestic cat), 2347 nucleotides long. RefSeq lists it as uncharacterized. NCBI's taxonomy places the organism in Eukaryota, Metazoa, Chordata, Mammalia, Carnivora, Felidae. The transcript has 2 exons. The record is from RefSeq and is a predicted model, not a curated record.
GCGUGUAGUCCUCUGAGGUUCGCCCGUUGUACCAGGGCUGGACCAGGCUCCGUCCUCUUGCUGUUGCCUAGCGGUACAGCACUGUCCCGAUCCCCCGGGGCGCUGGGCCAACCACCUGUUGAGGGGCGUUUGGGUUUUCCAGUUUGGGGCAGCGAUGAAUAAAGCUGCCGUGUACAAACUUUCUCCCACAGGUGGUAAGGGCUGGUUUUCAUCCCCCAGGAGCCUCAGGGAAGUGGAAAGCGUGCAGAGAGGGUACGCCUAUCAGUGAGGCACACUGCCCAAGAGGCGCCAGCGCUGGGCGGCUUCAGAAAGGCAGGGGGCCGCCUGGACCGGCGCUCAGGCCGGGCGCCCUUGCCCGCUGCUCGGCUCUGCACAAUCGAGGGGCACGACGCGGACGCCCAGAAUGCGGCGCGCGCACGCCCACCCACGCUCACACCCCCGCGCACACGCCCACCCACACGCACACACGCAAACGGGCGGGCUCGAGGCCCGUCCGGGCGCCACCGGCUCACCUGCCUGGGGUCCAUGGCGCCCCCGACGCAUGACCUGGAGCGGCGCUGGCGACCCUCCCCCUCCGGGAGCUCCCCUCCCCAGGACCACUGGAGUCACUCCUUCAGGAAGGCGGCUACACCGCACAUAUCCUGCCCCGCCCAGGACCCCCGGGGCACAACUCCCGCCCCCCCCAGCCCAGUUCUGUGGAAACAGCCCGAGGCUAGGCCUCUGCCUCUGCCGCCGCCCCCCCCCCCCCCACUUACCCUCCCAGCAGGUUGUGAGCGACUUAAACCCACCACCGCGGGGGCACCAUUUAGGGUCUAAUGGUGACGCCAUCCCAGCACGCCUUCACAGCUCUGCCAGGUAGGCGGGCUUGACUCCCAAAUUACGUGCAAACUGAGGCCUGAGGCGGGCUGCUGAUAAACCCAGGCCUCACUCUGCACCCCCACUGUGCGCUCACUGCAGUUAUGACUCCCCCAAAGAUAACUUCUGUUGUCUGCUGGGGGAAAUUCAACUGAUCUCACGUAGGCUUGUCCAAGAGGUCAAUCCUAUGGUCAGCAGUCCACAUUCCUCCCCAGUGAGAAACUGAUUUCCUGUUUCAUCGCCAUUUCGUCCCCACGGCCUGUGAGGUCAGGAUGCCCGGCUGGUGCCCUUUCCCUCCGGUCUCCCUGGAGCACCCAACCUCCAACUCCCCAUGGGCAGUGGGCUGGGCUCCCCCUCCUGUGCGUCUGUGCGUGUCCUCCUAGGCUUAGAAUGUACCUGUGGCGCUGCUUCUGACCAAAGGCUCUCAGGGGCUGCCUCAAAUAUCCUCUCCCCAGGAAGCCUCACCCAGCUCUGGGUUGGGGAGUGGGUGCCUCUGCAGCCCCUCAUUUUGUGCUUCUCCGUUACUGGGCGCUUACCCUACAGAGCACUUUCUCUGUGCUCUGAAAAUGCCUGGGUCCUUGAACGCACCUUCCCACGUGCCUCCCACGUGCCAGGGAAGGGCAAGUGCCCUUAGCCAACAGUCUGCUGGGGAGGACCAGCACUCCCGACAAGGAUCACAGUGCCGUGCCUCCUGACAUUCCGCACUUAGUGACUGACCCAUAAUCCACUGCGUGGAAAGAAUAAUCGAUGGGUAGAAUGUAGCACAGGAACUCGAUGAAGCUGGAAAGAUCAACAAACCUGUGAAACCGCGCUCCAUGUCCUCACAUUGGGGAAAUGCACGGGAAGGCCACAGACUUGCUGCCCACCCCCAGACCGGCCACUCGACCACGUGGGCAGCAGCUCCCACUCCCUACCGGAAACCAGUUCACCAUACGCGUGACAGGCGGGAAUAUACACGCCCUACAAGUGCGCAGUCCCACUUCUACACCUGGACGCACGUACACAGAGUGGCCUUACUGGGAACAGACAACCCGGAAACAGCCCAAACGUCCAGGAAAAGUACAACAGAUAGAUGGCGGCACACACUGGUGACGGAACGUUCCACGGCGUCAAACACCACAGAGCUGGAACCACACGCAGCACAGUGGGUCAUCAUCUAAACAGGACACUGAGCAAAGACACACUACCUGUCCACUUACAUCACGUCCCAAACCAGGCAAAACUACAGCGGGCACCUCACAGAAGCCAGGACGGGGUCACCUUCAGGGAGGAAGAAGGGUGUUCCGACUGGGAAGCAACGUUCUGGGUGCUGGCGACGCGGCUGCUGGGCCGCAGUUCAUGAAGUCACAUACUUGGGCUUUAUGUACAUUUCUGCGUGGAUGUGCUACACUUCACAAUGGUAAAAGGUUAAAAACGAGAAACUCUCCAUACCUGACCCCAGCCCGUCUCCCUAUGUUCUAUUUUCCAUUUGAGUAAAAUGCGUUAGGUCUUA